RNAcentral lists this small RNA (27 nucleotides) under Bombyx mori (domestic silkworm). RNAcentral describes it as "ovarian small RNA-17808". Lineage: Eukaryota; Metazoa; Arthropoda; Insecta; Lepidoptera; Bombycidae. The record is from RNAcentral.
GUCUCAUCUUCCGGAUAACGAACGUGC